UACGAAGGGGGCUAGCGUUGUUCGGAAUUACUGGGCGUAAAGCGCACGUAGGCGAGUAUUUAAGUCAGGGGUGAAAUCCCAGAGCUCAACUCUGGAACUGCCUUUGAUACUGGGUACCUAGAGUAUGGAAGAGGUGAGUGGAAUUCCGAGUGUAGAGGUGAAAUUCGUAGAUAUUCGGAGGAACACCAGUGGCGAAGGCGGCUCACUGGUCCAUUACUGACGCUGAGGUGCGAAAGCGUGGGGAGCAAACAGGG
This 254-nucleotide ribosomal RNA is filed under the name uncultured bacterium. RNAcentral's name for it is "partial 16S ribosomal RNA". It matches the Rfam family "Bacterial small subunit ribosomal RNA", at positions 524 to 777 of the family's 1533-position model. The record is from RNAcentral.